This 491-nucleotide long non-coding RNA is filed under the name Malus domestica (apple). RNAcentral describes it as "long non-coding RNA (MDOM_LNC016721)". Lineage: Eukaryota; Viridiplantae; Streptophyta; Magnoliopsida; Rosales; Rosaceae. The record is from RNAcentral.
UUCACACAAAUAAUGGCCAGUUAUUUGAUAACGAUAAAGCACAAUAACAAUUACUCAACAUGGAAAACAACAGAGAUCAAUAUGAAAUAAUAAGAAUUAGAUGUUCAUGAUAAGAGUACACCCUAAUCCUAGCAAAAGGACUUAGUUCAUGAUUAAACUAAUCACAAACAUGGAUGAAUUCGAUAACAUAAAGAAACCCCAAAACUCCAAUUCUGGAAUCGUAUGUGAUCAACCCCAAAACUGCCACCUUCUCUCCAGCGUUUUUCCACUGGAAGGCUGGAAUCCCCUUCUUUCCCCCCUUUGCGGCUGCUUCUCAUCUACUCCCCAGCAAUUAGAGAGGUCGGUUCCGUACACCCCCCAGUUGGACUUUUUUUCUUUUUUUUUUUUUUUUUUUUGGUCUUCUCCCCCUUUGCUUUUGUUCUCUAAUCCAUAUGAAGCCCAAAUUGGACUUAAUUUGAUAAAGCCCAAAUUCCAGCACCACUCUCACAUAG